Molecule: small nuclear RNA, 339 nt
Filed under: Anolis carolinensis (green anole)
Lineage: Eukaryota; Metazoa; Chordata; Lepidosauria; Squamata; Anolidae
Description: 7SK RNA
Rfam family: 7SK RNA (bases 1-298)
About the family: 7SK was discovered as an abundant small nuclear RNA in the mid-70s but a possible function has only recently been suggested. Two independent studies have found that 7SK RNA binds the CDK9/cyclin T complex (known as elongation factor P-TEFb).
Source: Rfam by way of RNAcentral
GGAUGUGAGGGUGAUCUGGCUGCGACAUCUGUCACCCCAUUGAUCGCCAGGGUUGAUUCGGCUGAUCUGGCUGGCUAGACGAGUGUCCCCUUCCUCCCUCACCGCUCCACGUGUGUCCCUCCCGAAGCUGCGCGCUCGGUGGAAGAGGACGACGUCCCAGGUAUAGAAGGAGUGUACCAAGGUCUCCAGUCUUCGGUCCCGGGUAUACGAUAGCUGCGCUCCCCUGCUAGAACCUCCAAACAAGCUCAAGGUCCAUUUGUAGGAGAGUAAGAAGUAGAGACUGUUGGAAAUAAGGUAAGUAUGUUGUGGAAGAUUUGGGAUAAAGUUAUUACCUUGUUU